This 278-nucleotide ribosomal RNA is filed under the name uncultured archaeon. RNAcentral's name for it is "partial 16S rRNA". It matches the Rfam family "Archaeal small subunit ribosomal RNA", at positions 1047 to 1325 of the family's 1478-position model. The record is from RNAcentral.
GAGACCUGUAUCCAUAAUUGCCAGCAGCAGAAUUUCUGGACUGGGCACAUUAUGGGGACUGCCCUGGAAACAGGGAGGAAGGUGCAGGCUACGGUAGGUCUGUAUGCUCCGAAUCUUCUGGGCAACACGCGCGCAACAAUGGUAGAGACAAUGGGAUGCAACUCCGAAAGGAGAAGCUAAUCCUCGAAACUCUAUCCUAGUUCAGAUUGAGGAUUGUAACUCAUCCUCAUGACGUUGGAAUCCCUAGUAAUCAGGUUUUAGCACAGCCCGGUGAAUAU